Mannheimia haemolytica M42548 is the source of this 110-nucleotide non-coding RNA. The record is from Rfam. NCBI's taxonomy places the organism in Bacteria, Pseudomonadati, Pseudomonadota, Gammaproteobacteria, Pasteurellales, Pasteurellaceae.
CUUAUGGGACAAAUGUUUACAUUUGAACGUUGGCUUUGCCAACGGCUCCGAAGGAGCGAGCGUAGCGAGUAUUGAGACCGGGAAAUGUUUCGUUCAGAAACAUUUUUCAG